This 1025-nucleotide ribosomal RNA is filed under the name Periconia igniaria. RNAcentral describes it as "SSU rRNA". It matches the Rfam family "Eukaryotic small subunit ribosomal RNA", at positions 68 to 1104 of the family's 1831-position model. Lineage: Eukaryota; Fungi; Ascomycota; Dothideomycetes; Pleosporales; Periconiaceae. The record is from RNAcentral.
AGCAUUAUACCGUGAAACUGCGAAUGGCUCAUUAAAUCAGUUAUCGUUUAUUUGAUAGUACCUUACUACAUGGAUAACCGUGGUAAUUCUAGAGCUAAUACAUGCUAAAAAUCCCAACUUCGGAAGGGAUGUAUUUAUUAGAUAAAAAACCAAUGCCCUCCGGGGCUCCUUGGUGAUUCAUAAUAACUUCUCAGAUCGCAUGGCCUUGCGCCGGCGACGGUUCAUUCAAAUUUCUGCCCUAUCAACUUUCGAUGGUAAGGUAUUGGCUUACCAUGGUUUCAACGGGUAACGGGGAAUUAGGGUUCGAUUCCGGAGAGGGAGCCUGAGAAACGGCUACCACAUCCAAGGAAGGCAGCAGGCGCGCAAAUUACCCAAUCCCGAUACGGGGAGGUAGUGACAAUAAAUACUGAUACAGGGCUCUUUAGGGUCUUGUAAUUGGAAUGAGUACAAUUUAAACCUCUUAACGAGGAACAAUUGGAGGGCAAGUCUGGUGCCAGCAGCCGCGGUAAUUCCAGCUCCAAUAGCGUAUAUUAAAGUUGUUGCAGUUAAAAAGCUCGUAGUUGAACCUUUGGCCUGGCUGGCGGGUCCGCCUCACCGCGUGCACUCGUCCGGCCGGGCCUUUUCUUCUAGAGAACCGCAUGCCCUUCACUGGGUGUGUUGGGGACUAGGACUUUUACUUUGAAAAAAUUAGAGUGUUCAAAGCAGGCCUUUGCUCGAAUACGUUAGCAUGGAAUAAUAGAAUAGGACGUGCGGUCCUAUUUUGUUGGUUUCUAGGACCGCCGUAAUGAUUAAUAGGGACAGUCGGGGGCAUCAGUAUUCAAUUGUCAGAGGUGAAAUUCUUGGAUUUAUUGAAGACUAACUACUGCGAAAGCAUUUGCCAAGGAUGUUUUCAUUAAUCAGUGAACGAAAGUUAGGGGAUCGAAGACGAUCAGAUACCGUCGUAGUCUUAACCAUAAACUAUGCCGACUAGGGAUCGGGCGGUGUUACUAUUUUGACCCGCUCGGCACCUUACGAGAAAUCAAAGU